AGGACGAACGCUGGCGGCGUGCUUAACACAUGCAAGUCGAGCGGAAAGGCCCUUCGGGGUACUCGAGCGGCGAACGGGUGAGUAACACGUGAGCAACCUGCCCUUAGCUUCGGGAUAGCUCCGGGAAACCGGAAUUAAUACCGAAUAUGACUUUGGCUGACAUCAGCAGAAGUGGAAAGUUUUUCGGCUAGGGAUGGACUCGCGGCCUAUCAGCUAGUUGGUGAGGUAACGGCCCACCAAGGCGACGACGGGUAGCCGGCCUGAGAGGGCGACCGGCCACGACUGGGACUGAGACACGGCCCAGACUCCUACGGGAGGCAGCAGUGGGGAAUAUUGCGCAAUGGGCGAAAGCCUGACGCAGCGACGCCGCGUGGGGGAUGAAUGCCUUCGGGUUGUAAACCCUUUCAGCAGGGACGAAGCGAAAGUGACGGUACCUGCAGAAGAAGCGCCGGCUAACUACGUGCCAGCAGCCGC
RNAcentral lists this ribosomal RNA (474 nucleotides) under uncultured bacterium. Its description in RNAcentral is "SSU rRNA". It matches the Rfam family "Bacterial small subunit ribosomal RNA", at positions 26 to 518 of the family's 1533-position model. The record is from RNAcentral.